Molecule: unclassified non-coding RNA, 264 nt
Filed under: Hevea brasiliensis (rubber tree)
Lineage: Eukaryota; Viridiplantae; Streptophyta; Magnoliopsida; Malpighiales; Euphorbiaceae
Source: RNAcentral
ACAACUGGAAACAUACAAGAACUUUGUUUUCAUUUGUCUCGAAGGCAAGUCAUACUGGAAAUGCUUACAGUAACCGAAAGGAAACUACCAAAACUAUAUCCUCCACAUAAUUCCAAGGUUAAAACUAUAAAAAUGUACAUACAAGGGAAAAAAACUUAUCUAGAGAACUAGAGACAGCUAAGGCAAUCACAUGGGCACCCGACAAGUGCUGCCAGCGGAGGCCUCCAGGGCAGUCUCCUGAACAAGGAUGUUAACCAAGAACAA